UGAACUCCUCGCCAGAGACGCUCCACAGCCUUGAAUGGGGAAGCUUUGCCAUUUCUUUCGCUGGAAUCUUCAAUUGAAAACAUCAAGAUCAUUAACCUGUGUCAGCCUGGACAGACUUCUGUUUCAGUUCUGACUGCACCACACUAAUCUCUCUGCUUAUGUGGAUCACUGACUACUAUGUUCUCUGAAGCGGAUGCCCUUCCAGCCUCAACCCAUCUCUGGGAAACAUCCACACACACUCAUUCACUACACACAAUUUUAGCCUACCCAAU
Molecule: long non-coding RNA, 272 nt
Organism: Danio aesculapii
Lineage: Eukaryota; Metazoa; Chordata; Actinopteri; Cypriniformes; Danionidae
Exons: 3
Source: RefSeq, a predicted model, not a curated record